UACAGAGGUCCCAAGCGUUGCUCGGAAUCACUGGGCGUAAAGCGCACGUAGGCGGAUUGUUAAGUCAGGGGUGAAAUCCUGGAGCUCAACUCCAGAACUGCCUUUGAUACUGGCGAUCUUGAGUCCGGGAGAGGUGAGUGGAACUGCGAGUGUGGAGGUGAAAUUCGUAGAUAUUCGCAAGAACACCAGUGGCGAAGGCGGCUCACUGGCCCGGUACUGACGCUGAGGUGCGAAAGCGUGGGGAGCAAACAGG
RNAcentral lists this ribosomal RNA (253 nucleotides) under uncultured bacterium. RNAcentral describes it as "partial 16S ribosomal RNA". It matches the Rfam family "Bacterial small subunit ribosomal RNA", at positions 524 to 776 of the family's 1533-position model. The record is from RNAcentral.